Molecule: ribosomal RNA, 408 nt
Filed under: uncultured bacterium
Lineage: Bacteria
Description: partial 16S ribosomal RNA
Rfam family: Bacterial small subunit ribosomal RNA
Source: RNAcentral
GACGAACGCUGGCGGCGUGCUUAACACAUGCAAGUCGAACGGAGUGGCGAACGGGUGAGUAACACGUGGGUGACCUGCCCUGCACUUCGGGAUAAGCCUGGGAAACUGGGUCUAAUACCGGCUAGUGUGGGUUGGGCCCGCGGCCUAUCAGCUUGUUGGUGGGGUAAGGGCUUACCAAGGCGGCGACGGGUAGCCGGCCUGAGAGGGGAGACGGCCACAUUGGGACGGAGACACGGCCCAGACGCCUACGGGAGGCAGCAGUGUGGAAUAUUGCACAAUGGGCGGAAGCGUGAUGCAGCGACGCCGCGUUGGGGAUGACGGCCUUCGGGUUGUAAACGCCUGUCACCUUCGACGCGGUAGAUGGAGAAGAAGCACCGGCUAACUACGUGCCAGCAGCCGCGGUAAUUC